CCAUGCACAAGUAGGUUUCCUGCCAGCAUCCCCUCCCCACUUCUCUUCCUAUGACCAUCCCUCUUAAUUCCCUUCUGUCUCUCCUCAGCGGCCCGCCUAAGUCCAGUGCCUCCCAAGCAGGGGCUGCAGCGGGGCAGGGAGCCCCCGCCCCUGCCCCCGCCUCCCAAGAGCCCCUUCCCAUAGCUGGACCAGGUGGGACAGGGAUUUUGGGAGGAGGAUGGGGCCUGUGUUGGUGAGGGCUGGUUGGGAGAGAGGGACACAGAGGGGAUGCCUGUCUCACCUGCCCCUGUCGCUGUGUCCCUGGUUCCGGCCCCAGCGACAGCACCUGCUCCACGGCCACUUGGCUCCAUUCAGAGACCAAACAGCUUCCUCUUCCGUUCCUCCUCUCAGAGUGGCUCAGGCCCUUCCUCACCAGACUCUGUCCUGAGACCUCGGCGGUACCCCCAGGUUCCAGAUGAGAAGGACUUAAUGACUCAGCUGCGCCAGGUCCUUGAGUCCCGGCUGCAGCGGCCCCUGCCUGAGGACCUGGCCGAGGCUC
This 538-nucleotide small RNA is filed under the name Pan troglodytes (chimpanzee). RNAcentral's name for it is "retained intron". The record is from RNAcentral. Lineage: Eukaryota; Metazoa; Chordata; Mammalia; Primates; Hominidae.